CUCCCUCUCUCUCGAAGUGUGCAAUAUUUCCUUUCUAUUAUAUGUACAAAAUAACAUUUAGUUGCACUGACUCCCUCCCCGUUAUAUUUACUUUCACACAUAUGUCAAAAAAGAUCUGCAUGUUUUUCUGAGUUCUUUCUGUCAAAUUGCGCAUGCAUACAUACUCAAAUAUGAGAUAUUACCAACAAGCACGAACUGCCAAUUCCAUAAAAAUAGCUAUUAUUUGCCGAGAAUCUUCUAUUGACUGUUAUAUCGAUAAACUAUGCAUAUAACUGAACACGCAGAAGUAAUGAAAGAAAAGCAAGACAGAGCAUUUGUAUUAUCGAAUUAUACAUUGGAAUAAUGAAUAUCAUGACGAUAUAACGAUACAGUCUGUUCCCAACAAAAUGCAUGACCAUAAAGACAAUAUCAUCGAUCCUAGGAAACAAACGUUUUCAUAUAUACAUAUAUAUAUAUGUCUGUAUAUAUGUAUAUAUUCAUUAUGUAUGUAUGUAUACGUACGUCGCUCUUGGUCCAAAUUAUCUUAUCCAAUUCGUAAAGAUACGACUAAAGCAUACAAACUGAAUCCUUGAAAUACAAUAUCACUGUG
RNAcentral lists this long non-coding RNA (589 nucleotides) under Polistes fuscatus (common paper wasp). Its description in RNAcentral is "uncharacterized LOC122523059". The record is from RNAcentral. Lineage: Eukaryota; Metazoa; Arthropoda; Insecta; Hymenoptera; Vespidae.